CCUACGGGUGGCUGCAGUGGGGAAUAUUGGACAAUGGGGGGAACCCUGAUCCAGCCAUGCCGCGUGUGUGAAGAAGGCCCUCGGGUUGUAAAGCACUUUCAGUGAGGAAGAACGCCUGGUGGUUAAUACCCAUCAGGAAAGACAUCACUCACAGAAGAAGCACCGGCUAACUCCGUGCCAGCAGCCGCGGUAAUACGGAGGGUGCGAGCGUUAAUCGGAAUUACUGGGCGUAAAGCGCGCGUAGGUGGCUUGAUAAGCCGGUUGUGAAAGCCCCGGGCUCAACCUGGGAACGGCAUCCGGAACUGUCAAGCUAGAGUGCAGGAGAGGAAGGUAGAAUUCCCGGUGUAGCGGUGAAAUGCGUAGAGAUCGGGAGGAAUACCAGUGGCGAAGGCGGCCUUCUGGACUGACACUGACACUGAGGUGCGAAAGCGUGGGUAGCAAACAGGAUUAGAAUACCCUAGUAGUC
Molecule: ribosomal RNA, 466 nt
Filed under: Vreelandella stevensii
Lineage: Bacteria; Pseudomonadati; Pseudomonadota; Gammaproteobacteria; Oceanospirillales; Halomonadaceae
Description: partial 16S ribosomal RNA
Rfam family: Bacterial small subunit ribosomal RNA
Source: RNAcentral